GAUGAACGCUAGCGACAGGCCUAACACAUGCAAGUCGAGGGGCAGCACGAGGUAGCAAUACUGAGGUGGCGACCGGCGCACGGGUGAGUAACACGUAUGCAACCUACCUGUAAGAGGGGAAUAACCCGGAGAAAUUCGGACUAAUACCGCAUAACACUGCCAUACCGCAUGGUAUAGCAGUUAAACAUUUAUGGUUUACAGAUGGGCAUGCGUAUGAUUAGAUAGCUGGUGAGGUAACGGCUCACCAAGUCAACGAUCAUUAGGGGUUCUGAGAGGAAGGUCCCCCACACUGGUACUGAGACACGGACCAGACUCCUACGGGAGGCAGCAGUGAGGAAUAUUGGUCAAUGGGCGAGAGCCUGAACCAGCCAAGUCGCGUGAAGGAAGAAGGUUCUAUGGAUUGUAAACUUCUUUUGUAAGGGAAUAAAAAGAGUUACGUGUAACUUAUUGUAUGUACUUUACGAAUAAGGGUCGGCUAACUCCGUGCCAGCCGCCGCAGUAA
This 502-nucleotide ribosomal RNA is filed under the name uncultured bacterium. RNAcentral's name for it is "partial 16S ribosomal RNA". It matches the Rfam family "Bacterial small subunit ribosomal RNA", at positions 28 to 523 of the family's 1533-position model. The record is from RNAcentral.